This is an RNA transcript of Fukomys damarensis (Damara mole-rat), 2901 nucleotides long. It is a transcript of the gene named CUGBP Elav-like family member 3, with no coding region annotated. Lineage: Eukaryota; Metazoa; Chordata; Mammalia; Rodentia; Bathyergidae. The transcript has 14 exons. The record is from RefSeq and is a predicted model, not a curated record.
CAAGCAUCUGGCAUCAGGGAUCUUCGGACCCGGCAGAAGCAUCAGCCACAGGGGAGGUGCCCUCCCGGGGAAGCCAACGAGAGCUCCUCCGGCCCCACAUCAGGAGGGGCCCCUCUCUGAAGCUGCUGGCAGCCAGACCUCAGGCCCCAGACCUGUCUUCUCCCCGUCCCCUCCCUCAGGCCUCUCCCGCACCUGCACCUCUCACUGCCACCUGGCUCUCAGCCUCCCGGGCCCCGGUGCCCCGAAGCCAGCCCAGCUCUCGGGUCUUGGCCACUCUGACCCGUCCUGGGAGCGCUGCCAGGCCUCCGGGAGGGAGCGCACCGGCUUGGGCUAUGCCCCCUGGCGGCUCGGCGUCGUCUGCCUAGACCCCUGACCCCAGCCUCGACUCCGGGGCCUCCUUUGUGUGAAGAGCUGCUCCCGGCUCAGCAGUGCGGUCGGGGGCCACAGGGAAAGCUGGCCCCGCCGGGCCCCCGGCCCCCUCCACUUGCCUCGUGGUCGGGCAGCUCCCCUGGCCUCUGGGCCUCUCCCUGCUCCCCUCGGCCCCUCCUCCUGGGCCGCCCCAAUGAAGGAGCCGGAUGCCAUCAAGCUAUUUGUGGGGCAGAUCCCGAGGCAUCUGGAGGAAAAGGACCUGAAGCCCAUCUUUGAGCAGUUUGGUCGGAUCUUCGAGCUGACUGUCAUCAAGGACAAGUACACCGGGCUGCACAAGGGAUGUGCCUUCCUGACAUACUGUGCCCGCGAUUCAGCCCUGAAGGCCCAGAGUGCCCUGCACGAACAGAAGACGCUUCCAGGGAUGAACAGGCCGAUCCAGGUCAAGCCAGCCGACAGCGAGAGCCGAGGAGAAGACCGGAAGCUCUUUGUGGGGAUGCUAGGAAAACAGCAGACAGAUGAAGACGUCCGCAAGAUGUUCGAGCCGUUCGGGGCCAUAGACGAGUGCACUGUGCUCCGGGGCCCAGACGGCACCAGCAAAGGCUGCGCCUUCGUGAAAUUCCAGACCCACGCAGAGGCCCAGGCCGCCAUCAACACCCUUCACAGCAGCCGGACGCUGCCGGGCGCCUCAUCCAGCCUGGUGGUGAAGUUUGCUGACACAGAGAAGGAGCGAGGUCUCCGCCGAAUGCAGCAGGUGGCCACCCAGCUGGGCAUGUUCAGCCCCAUCGCCCUCCAGUUUGGAGCCUACAGCGCCUACACCCAGGCCCUGAUGCAGCAGCAGGCGGCCCUGGUAGCGGCUCACAGUGCCUACCUCAGCCCCAUGGCCACCAUGGCCGCCGUGCAGAUGCAGCACAUGGCCGCCAUCAAUGCCAAUGGCCUCAUCGCCACCCCAAUCACCCCAUCCUCAGGAACCAGCACGCCUCCUGCCAUCGCUGCCACGCCCGUCUCUGCUAUCCCUGCUGCCCUGGGCGUCAAUGGCUACAGCCCGGUGCCCACCCAGCCCACUGGGCAGCCUGCCCCUGAUGCUCUGUAUCCCAACGGGGUUCAACCCUACCCAGCCCAGAGCCCUGCGGCCCCUGUGGACCCCCUGCAGCAGGCCUACGCGGGGAUGCAGCACUACACAGCAGCCUACCCAGCAGCCUACAGCCUGGUUGCACCUGCAUUCCCACAGCCUCCGGCCCUGGUCACUCAGCAGCCGCCCCCACCGCCCCAACAGCAGCAGCAACAGCAGCAGCAACAGCAGCAGCAACGAGAAGGCCCCGAUGGCUGCAACAUCUUCAUCUACCACCUGCCACAGGAGUUCACAGACUCAGAGAUCCUCCAGAUGUUUGUACCCUUUGGCCACGUCAUCUCAGCCAAAGUCUUUGUUGACCGCGCCACCAAUCAGAGCAAAUGUUUUGGCUUUGUGAGUUUCGACAAUCCAGCCAGUGCCCAGGCUGCCAUCCAGGCCAUGAAUGGCUUCCAGAUCGGCAUGAAGCGCCUCAAAGUCCAGCUAAAGCGGCCAAAAGAUGCCAACCGGCCCUACUGAGGGCCCCAGCCCAGGGCCUGUGUCCAUUGUCGGCUGAAGCCCCCAUCCCCGGACCCCUGCUCCGGGCCCCUGUCUGGAGGUACCGGAGGAAGGGGCACCUCACUCCUCUUCCCGAGACUGGCCCGGCCCUCUGCACACAUCCGCCCCGGGCCCUGACUGGGCUCUGGGGCAAAAGCUGCUUUAUGGCCUUCGGGGCACAGGACACCGCCCCACCUCACCACCCGCCUCUAGAAGGGCCGUGGCUUUGCUUCCCUGGCCCCAAAGGUCUCUUUCUGCCCAGGCGCCCUUUUGGCCUUUGUGAGGGAGCAAGAACAGGCUUGAGGGUUCCGGGGUAUCUGCCUUCUGCCGGGACUCCUGUGCCGGCUCUGCCCCAGCCAGCCCCCGCCAGCCUCCUCCCGAGGUCGGCUUCUCAGAAGCUGGCUCUCACCCCUCCACCCGCAGCAGAUAGGAUAACCCUGAACCUGGGCUCCCAGCCCUAAAACUCACUGCCUCUCUGCCCGUCAGCCAGAGACCCUCCUCGUCUCGCGAGGAAAAGACCUCCCGAACCCCUAAAAAUGUUUACAGUCUCCGCUGGCCCCUCCAUGUAAAUACCAUGACCACCGUGCGUUAUCCAGCCCGCUCGGCCGGCCCGCCGGACGCUGCCAUCUCUCUUUCUGGGAGUUUAGACAAUUUGCCCUUGGGUUUUUUCUCACUCUUGAUUUCUCCCUUUGGUUUUGGGGGGCGGGUGAUUGGGUAUGUGGGAGGAAGGGUGUUGGGAGGGACGAAGGGGUUUAUUACCUGAUGAUUUUCUUUAGGCAAAGUUUUAGGGAAAGAAAGAUGGGGUGGGGGUGGGAGUUGUAAGGGGAGACUGGGGAGUCGGUUUCAGACAGUUCUCUAUGCUUAACUUAUUUAUUUAUUGCAUUUUACUUUUAAAGAGUUGGUCUUUUCUGUCUAAAUAAAGAACGUUU